UUCUAGUCUUCCUCUAGCUAGCCAAGCUUGAUUCUUUGAGAGAGAAUCCUGGGUGGUUACAGUAAAGGACCUCUGUGUACAAGUGAAUGAUGUCUCCACCAUGAUCCUGAUGGCAAGACUCAUGCCUGUUUUCAGGCAGCACUCUCUCCCUGGCACCAAGUUCAGUGGCCAGCACGUAAAAGACACUCAGUCCUGAUUGAAUAAACGUGGGCAAGACUUUCCUUAAUGCAUUCCAGCAGCCUAUUGGAUGAAGGAAGAUGGAUCACAGGCUUCUGCAUAAAGAGGUCAAGACCUGAUUAAGGUAGUGGCAGAGAGCUUCCUGAGGCCUGGAAUACCCAACAAACA
Long non-coding RNA from Ailuropoda melanoleuca (giant panda), 345 nucleotides. RefSeq lists it as uncharacterized. The record is from RefSeq and is a predicted model, not a curated record. The transcript is spliced from 3 exons. NCBI's taxonomy places the organism in Eukaryota, Metazoa, Chordata, Mammalia, Carnivora, Ursidae.